GUAUGAGCCGGGGAAGACGGCGGUGGGGAUCAAGAAUGUGACGAUUAAUGAUAAUUUCUUUCCCGGGCAUUUUCCGGAGCGGCCGAUUAUGCCGGGUGUGCUCAUGAUUGAGGCCAUGGCUCAGGUUGGAGGCCUAGUGAUGCUGCAACCGGAGGUUGGGGGCUCACGCGAGAACUUCUUCUUUGCUGGGAUUGACAAAGUGCGGUUCAGGAAGCCU
This 217-nucleotide unclassified non-coding RNA is filed under the name Hevea brasiliensis (rubber tree). Lineage: Eukaryota; Viridiplantae; Streptophyta; Magnoliopsida; Malpighiales; Euphorbiaceae. The record is from RNAcentral.